UACGGAGGGUGCGAGCGUUAAUCGGAAUUACUGGGCGUAAAGCGCGCGUAGGCGGCCAAGUCAGUCGGAUGUGAAAGCCCCGGGCUUAACCUGGGAAUUGCAUUCGAUACUGCUUGGCUAGAGUUUGGUAGAGGAUGGCGGAAUUCCUGGUGUAGCGGUGAAAUGCGUAGAUAUCCGGAGGAACAUCAGUGGCGAAGGCGGCCAUCUGGACCAAAACUGACGCUGAGGUGCGAAAGCGUGGGUAGCAAACAGG
Molecule: ribosomal RNA, 253 nt
Filed under: uncultured bacterium
Lineage: Bacteria
Description: partial 16S ribosomal RNA
Rfam family: Bacterial small subunit ribosomal RNA
Source: RNAcentral